AACGCGAAGAACCUUACCUGGGUUUGACAUCCCGUGAAAAGUGCAGAGAUGCAUAAUAGCCGCAAGGCACACGGAGACAGGUGCUGCAUGGCUGUCGUCAGCUCGUGUCGUGAGAUGUUGGGUUAAGUCCCGCAACGAGCGCAACCCUUUCCCUUAUUUGCCAGCAUUCAGUUGGGCACUCUAGGGGUACUGCCGAUGAUAAAUCGGAGGAAGGUGGGGAUGAGGUCAAGUCAUCAUGGCCCUUACGUCCAGGGCAACACACGUACUACAAUGGCCGAGACAAAGCGAUGCAAAAUCGAGAGAUUGAGCCAAUCGCAAAAACACGGUCUCAGUUCGGAUUGUGGUCUGCAACUCGACCACAUGAAGUUGGAAUCUCUAGUAAUCGCAGAUCAGCAGGCUGCGGUGAAUACGUUCCCGGGCCUUGUACACACCGACGCGUA
This 440-nucleotide ribosomal RNA is filed under the name uncultured bacterium. Its description in RNAcentral is "bacterial SSU rRNA". It matches the Rfam family "Bacterial small subunit ribosomal RNA", at positions 958 to 1399 of the family's 1533-position model. The record is from RNAcentral.